RNAcentral lists this ribosomal RNA (240 nucleotides) under uncultured bacterium. Its description in RNAcentral is "partial 16S ribosomal RNA". It matches the Rfam family "Bacterial small subunit ribosomal RNA", at positions 94 to 334 of the family's 1533-position model. The record is from RNAcentral.
AGCGGCGGACGGGUGAGUAACGCGUGGGUAACCUGCCUCAUACAGGGGGAUAACAGUUGGAAACGGCUGCUAAUACCGCAUAAGCGCACAGUACCGCAUGGUACGGUGUGAAAUACUCCGGUGGUAUGAGAUGGACCCGCGUCUGAUUAGGUAGUUGGUGGGGUAACGGCCUACCAAGCCGACGAUCAGUAGCCGACCUGAGAGGGUGACCGGCCACAUUGGGACUGAGACACGGCCCAA